RNAcentral lists this ribosomal RNA (490 nucleotides) under uncultured bacterium. RNAcentral describes it as "partial 16S ribosomal RNA". It matches the Rfam family "Bacterial small subunit ribosomal RNA", at positions 30 to 507 of the family's 1533-position model. The record is from RNAcentral.
AUUGAACGCUGGCGGCAGGCCUAACACAUGCAAGUCGAGCGGCAGCGGAAUGUAGCUUGCUCCUUUGCCGGCGAGCGGCGGACGGGUGAGUAAUGUCUGGGAAACUGCCUGAUGGAGGGGGAUAACUACUGGAAACGGUAGCUAAUACCGCAUAACGUCGCAAGACCAAAGAGGGGGACCUUCGGGCCUCUUGCCAUCAGAUGUGCCCAGAUGGGAUUAGCUAGUAGGUGGGGUAACGGCUCACCUAGGCGACGAUCCCUAGCUGGUCUGAGAGGAUGACCAGCCACACUGGAACUGAGACACGGUCCAGACUCCUACGGGAGGCAGCAGUGGGGAAUAUUGCACAAUGGGCGCAAGCCUGAUGCAGCCAUGCCGCGUGUAUGAAGAAGGCCUUCGGGUUGUAAAGUACUUUCAGCGGGGAGGAAGGUGUUGAGGUUAAUAACCUCAGCAAUUGACGUUACCCGCAGAAGAAGCACCGGCUAACUCCGUG